AUUUUAAUGUGUUAAGACAAUUGUUUCUAAUAUGUAAAAAUGUUACUUUCAUAUUCGUAUCUUUUAAUUCUUUGUGAUAUUCUGUUGCUCAUGCAAAGAGUUCUUAUAUCAAUUUAUCCUUCCCAAAAAUGAUUGGGAAAAAUAAUUAUAGCUUUUAAAUAGUUUAGGAUAUAUUGGUAUAUUCAUUAGUACAUGAGUAGAAUUUUCUUCUGGAAUACAUAAAAUCAGUACAUUUUUAUGGAGAGGAGGGGUCAUUAGUGAAUGUUCUGUUUCUUCUAUAAAUAUUUAGUUUAGAAUCUCUGUCUCUAUGGGGUAAAAGUUUAUAAAAUAUAUAUUCCUAGAAUACAUAUUAUCUACAUUUAAAUAGUAAUUUACAUUGAAUUGUAUAAUUUUUCUAUUUAUUCUUUAUGUUAAUGUUUGACUUUAAGUUCUUCUCUGCAGUGUAAACUGUUGAUACCUCCUUCUCAAGCUCUUUGUGUGAUUCCAUCUGUUUAAAGAAUCAUUUGGCUCCAGAGUUUGGAGAUUAGUUAAAAUUAGAUUUUCAGCAGAUGCAUAACCCAGGGAAGCACAGAAUUCAGUAAGAUACACAAGCUUUGCUUCAGUCUCUCCUGUCUCAGACUCAGCAUUUCCUGCUUCCUUCAUUUCCUGCUUCCUUCCUUCCUUCAGGAGCCCAUUUUCUUCCAGAUAUUGUGGAAAUUUAUCACCUCUCCCAAACAUUUUUAUGUCUCUGGAGUUACACAUUAGAACAUUGUCAUUGUUUUUGGUAAUUGGUUUUCUGAAAAUAAUUUUAACUCUUCAAAUAUGUACUGCCAUUGUAUCUACAGGUGAAGUGAUAAUUGUAGUUUUCUGGGGAAGUGAAGUCACAGGAUCACAAACCCACAUCUCAGACCUCCUUCCUACACACUCACUGGCUGUAGUGACUACAAACCAGAGCCCAUUCUCCAGCAGUAGAAGGAAAUCAGAUUGUUACCUUCCAAACACCUUAUUACAAGUCCUAAUAUUGAUGUGUUGUAGUGAAAAUAGACUGGUGCAGAACUCAAAGUGUUGAAUGGACCCCAUCCUAGACCCAUUUUCAGGUAGGGAAAUGGAAGGAAUGGAGUUUCUAACAGCACUCCUAGGCAUACAAAACAGAUUACUUUUUUAAUCUCAUCUAUUUCUAUCUUUCUGUCUUUUCCUUCUUCCCCCUCCCCAAACUUCUGCAGUCUCUCACGCUGUGAGUUGUGAGUUGUGAAAGGGAGUUUUCUUAGCUCAGUAGCUAAGAAUUUCACUAUAUUGGCUUAUCCCAUUGCACCUGCUGAAAUGCUAAAAGCAAAACUUUGGCACAUUAAAUAUAAGUCAGCCUGAUAAAAUUAAACUUCACAAGCUAUGCAGCUGCUGUGUACACAAAAAACAGGAUUAGAAUCUUUGUUGCUGACUGCUUAGAUACUCUAGUUUUACAUCUUUGUUCUUUCACUGGGCUUGCAUUUUGCAUGUUGGGCAAUAGGAAAAGAAAUUUCAAGAUUCUUCCAUCCUGCAGAAGCAAACGUGAAUCAUGAGGCUCUAUGCUUGCAUCUCUAUGUGUGUUUUUCUGUUUUUUGUUUGCUUGUCUUUGAGAUGGGUCUCACUCUUGUUAUCCAGGUUGGAGUGCAAGGCACGAUCUCGGCUCACUGCAACCUCCCCCUCCCAGGUUCAAUUGAUUCUUCUGCCUCAGCCUCCUGAGUAGCUUGGAUUACAGACACAUUCCACUAUGCCUGGCUAAUUUUUGUAUUUUUAGUAGAGAGGGGUUUCACCAUGUUGAUCAGUCUGGUCUUGAACUCCUGACCUCAGGUGAUCCACCUGACUCAGCAUCCUAAAGUGCUGGGAUUGCAGACGUGAGCCAACGCAUCUGGCCAUGUCUAUAUCUUAUAUUAAUAUAAAAUAUAACAAUGUACAGAUUAUUGUCUCUAGGGCAGCAUUGCAGCUUCAAGUACAGAGUUGACCCGAGUUCAACCACUGCAUGGGAUAAACCCAGGCCAAGUAGUUACAUUAUUUAGGUGGCUCAGUCCUCAUCAACUCUAUAAGGCUAGAGGAGGACCCAGACAUCUUUAGGGGUAAAAACAUCAUUUAAAGAAAGAACUUAUUAGUAUGCUUUUUUCUUCUCAGUUUUUCCCGGGAUCUUUGAAUAUUUUAUGACCAACUUUAUCUGCAAUGCUGAGAUAAAGUUGUGCUUAUCCCAACUUCAGAGAAAUUCAAGUAGAUGAACUUGAGACAGUGCUGAUAUAUAUUUUUAUAUAUGCAAAUUUCACUUCAUUUUAGGAAUUUCUACCUGUUUUUUAACUAAUGCAUUUUAAAAAUUUGGAUCAUGUGUCUUCAAAGAGCAAGGAACGGUUUAAGAAUGGAGGAUAUAGCAGUUAGUUCCCCUGUUCUCAUGGAACUUAUUCCAGCAGGGGGAAACAUUUUUUAAAUGCAGGCUGGGUGCCUGUAAUCCCAGCACUUUAGGAGGAUGAGACAGGAGGAUCAGUUGAGCCCAGAAGUUUAAGACCAGCUUGGGCAACAUAGUGGGGCCCCACCUCUACAAAAAACUUUGAAAAAUUAGCCCGGUGGUGGAACAUACCUUUAAUCCCAGCUAUAUGAGAGGCUAAGAUGGGAGGAGAGCUUGAGCCCAGAGGUUGAGGCUACAGUGACCUGUGAUCUUGCCACUGCACUCCAGCUUGAGUGAUAGAAUGAGAUCCUAUCUCUAAAUAAAUAAACAUAUAUUGAAACUCUAAAACAAGAAAAUAGCUAAUAGGUCACAUGAAGAUAGAGGCUAUGAAACCAUAAGGCGGGUGAGAGAAUGCCAGGUUGGGGGAAUUAGUGGUUUAUACAGGAUGGUCACUGAUGGCCUCUCUCAUGAGGUGACAUUUGAAUAGAUGAGACCUGAUGGAAGUGGAGCGAGCUGUGGACACAUUUGAGGGAAGAUCAAAUAUAGAUGCAGGAGUAACAACAUACAGAUGCAUUCGAGAAAAGUAAGAAGGCAGUGAAUGGCGAGAGUACAAGGAAAGGGAGCAGGAGCACAGGAAUAAAACAUGAAAUUGGGGGGUUGGAGGAAGCAGGGAUCUAAUGGUGUCUUUUAGGAGAUUUUAAGAAUUUUAGCUUUCCUUCAGUGUGAAAGGAACAGAGCAAUGGUAUACCUAAUUUGUAUUUUAAAAGCUCUGUUAGGUUACCAUGUGGAAACUAGGAUGCAGGAGGCAAGGGUGAAAGCAGGAAGACCCAUUAGGUUCUAUUGUGAUAAUCCAGGCAAGAAAUGGUGGCAUUUGCUCCCUGGUGGGGAUAGCAGGAGACGUAUAUGUGCUGCUGAAGUGAGAACAAGUAGAAGACACUGGAGGAGGUCAUCUUCUGAACAUAGGUUGAAGGAGGAAUCUGAAUUUUCUUUGGAGUAUGGUAUAUAGAAAAUGAAGGGAGUCAAGUGUCACUCUUUUUUUUUCUUUUUGUCUAACUGAUUGGUCAAUAAGUAGUAAUUCACUGCAGUUGGAGAGACUGGGGCACACAAAUUUUUUUGCAGGAGAAUCAGGAGUUUGAUUUGAGAGUUGUGUGAUUCACAAUGUCUAUUAGACACCAAAGAAAAAAUGUCAUGAAGCUGGGUGGAUGCUUGAAGUAUGGAAAUCAGUGAAGAAGCCUGGGCUACAGUCAUUGCUUUAAACCUUACAGUGGUUGACAUCAACUUAGUGUGGGUGUGAUGCAGAAAAGCAUAGAGGUGCUGUGACUGAGCCCUAAGCCUUGCCAAUGUCAAGGAGGUAAGAAAUCAGGCUGGGCGCAGUGGCUCAAGCCUGUAAUCCCAGCACUUUGGAAGGCCGAGGCUGGUAGAUCACGAGGUCAACAGAUCAAGACCAUCCUGGUUAACAUGGUGACACCCUGUCUCUACUAAAAAUGCAAAAAAAAUUAGCUGGGCUUGGUGGCGCAUGCCUGUAAUCCCAGCUACUCAGGAGGCUGAGGCAGGAGAAUUGCCUGAACCCAGGAGGCGGAGGUUGCGGUGAGCCGAGAUCCCGCCAUUGCACUCCAGUCUGGGUAACAAGAGCGAAACUCCAUCUCAAAAAAAAAAAGAAAAGAAAGAGAGAAAUCAUCCAUUGAUGCAAAGGACAUUAGCCAGGGUGUUAGCUUUCUAGGGCUGCUUUAACAAAGUACUAAAAUCAGGUGGCCAAAAACAACAGAAAUGUGUUGAUCUCAGUUCUGGAAGCCAGAAGUCUGAAAUCAGGGUGCUGGCAAGGCCUUGCUUUCUUUGGAGGCUCUAGGGGAGAUCCUUCCUUAGCUCUCUGGCUUUUAGAGUUUGCUGGCAACCCUUACUAUUCUGUGACUUGUAGAGGUCUCACUCCACUCAUGCAGCUGUCUUCUCCCUGUGUGCCUUCACAUCCUCUUCCCUCUUUGCAUAUCUGUGUCCACAUUUUUCUUUUUUAAAUAUGAACACCAGACAUGUUGGAUUAAGCCUUACCCUAAUGACUUCUUCUUAGGUUGGUUAAAUCUGCAAAGAGCCUGUUUCCAACUAAGGUUGCAUUCUCAGACACCCUGGGUUAGGACUUCAACAAAUCCUUGGAAACAAUUCAACCCUUAAAAGCCAGUAAGCUGGUAGUAGCAGAACCAUGGAAGCAUGAUGCUCUAGAAACCAAGGGAAGAAAGUGCUUUAGGCAGGAAGGAUGAGAAAACAAGUAUAGACAUUUUAUUGAGGAGGUUUGCAAAUAGGGCAUGAGAAAACUGGGAGUGGUAGAGCAGAAACCAGAGUUCUAAGGGGUUUUAAAAACAAUGGGAGAAAUAAAACCAUGUUUAUAUGUAGAGGGAGAAGAUAUUACAGUAAAAGGGGACAACUUCUAGAGUGAUGUCUUUUGUGGGCAAGAGGGUGUGGGAUCUAACCCUCCAGGGGAUUCUGGAUGUGCACUCAUCUUUGAGACCCACUGUUAAGAUGAUCUCUAGGAUGCUCUAAAACUCUGUGUCUUGUCAUGCGUUUUAUUCCAUUAGCUGAAACCUCCUUUUGUUUCAAAUGAUGAUUAUUGCCUCAUGUAUACAAAUAAUAAGUUGAAAUGGAAUGUGACUGCACAUAUUACAGAGAGAUGUAUGUAGGAGAUGGUAGCUCUCUAUUUCCGCUUUACUGUAAGAGGCUUAAUCCACUGGACCUUCUCUGUACACUUCACUUUCUGUCAUUGAGGAAUACGUCUUCAGCAUUGCCUGGGAGACCUGACUGCAUCUCCAGCUGCUCUUUUUAGAUGACCAUGCAUCAAACUUUUGUAGAGUGAAGGGAGUGUCAUGAAGACUUGAAAUAGUUGUAUUUGUCAGGUGUCAAAUGCUGUAUAAUGACUUAAUAUUGCAAUACCCCCAAAUUAUUUUGUAUCAGAUUUUUUUAACAUCAUAUUUCCUUCUGUUUCUUUGGAUCGUCCCUCUUUUCUUUUCUAUUAGUCUAGCUAGCAGCCUAUCUUAUUGAUUUUUUCAAAAAUCAAAUACAACCUAGUAUUUCCAUUGACAGUUUUUCCAAAAUAGAAUACCCAGUUUGGAAUAUCUG
Long non-coding RNA from Callithrix jacchus (white-tufted-ear marmoset), 5482 nucleotides. The record is from Ensembl. NCBI's taxonomy places the organism in Eukaryota, Metazoa, Chordata, Mammalia, Primates, Cebidae.